This is a long non-coding RNA of Sarcophilus harrisii (Tasmanian devil), 1242 nucleotides long. RefSeq lists it as uncharacterized. The record is from RefSeq and is a predicted model, not a curated record. The transcript is spliced from 3 exons. NCBI's taxonomy places the organism in Eukaryota, Metazoa, Chordata, Mammalia, Dasyuromorphia, Dasyuridae.
AGCUGAUUGGCUGGGAGAGUCAAGUAAAGAAAAAACCGUGGGCGGGAGAUGGGGCUCGGGGGAGGGGCCAGAGCCCGGCUCCGGCCUCUGAUUGGUCUCGGCUCGGCCUUUUCGGCUCGGCCCGUGUUUGUCCCUAAUUCAGAAGAAAACCAAACUAAGAUAAAAACUAAAGUUGCCUUGAUAUUUUCUGCUUCUCACGUGCCCAGAAUUCUACCCCUUCCUCCGGGACAUCUUUUAGAGGAAAAACCAGCGGCCCCCAAAUGUUUUAAGUCCAAAACUAUUGCUAAAUGCGGGCGGCGGGGGCGGAGAGGGGGCGGGGCUUCUCACGCGUCUCCGUGAGGCUGCCCGAUACAUUCCCUUCUCACUUAUUUAUUCACCUGAUGAACAGUUAUUUGCAGUUUUUCUUCCAAAGACCCACCUGGCUUCGCUGGAUGCAAAGAGUGAGGCCGAAGACACAGCCCGCCCCCAUUCAAAUUCAACGCACUUGCGUGCCUGACGUCACCUCCCUGACGUCAUGGUCCUCUCAGAACUAAAGACGAAGACGUCAUCUCCCACUACUUCCUCUCUACAAUCCUUUAGGCGAGAACACAGAUUUGGGGAAACUUGCAUCGCGCCUGCCCGCACUUGGUAUCAGGAGGCCUUCCCUGGAUUUGUCCAGUCAGCCAGGUGAAGUGGCAGCGGGCUGUGGUACCGAGAGGCACUCUUAGCACCGGCUUUCAUAAACUUCUGACGCGGGCAUGGACAAAAGAGCGAGCAAGGCUCAGAAUCGAAGAGGAGAAAAGCCACAAACUGCCCCGUCUUAGCCAUUUCAAACAAAUCCACGUCUGUACCUGACCAGAGAAUUUAAUUUUAUGGAGGGCCGUCUUAACCAGCAAGCAACGCACACAUUUAUCAGAAUCAUGCUGAAGCCCGAAUGGAUCAUCUAACUGGCAACAAUACUGAGGUAGAACUGCUGGCUGCCACAAUAGCGUGCUUGACAAUGCUCUCCCAGACCAACUGACCCGGACAUCGUCGGGACCUGGAUUAUUCUUGAGGUACUGAGAUCGAUCAUAAAGGGUCAUAAAGGGUCUCAACGCCCCUGUCCCCCUUGAAGGUUGCCGACUGAGGGCUUUUUCGAAAGCAGAAUGAAUGUGAGCGAUUUAGCCCAUCAAAAUCAAAAAUGUCACAUCACAGCAGUGUUAUAAGGACAAGAGUUGGCAGCCCAGCCUCCCUGCUCACAAUAAAAGCCCCUUAAAAACCAUC